GGUCAAGCGAAUAAGCGCACACGGUGGAUGCCUUGGCGGUCAGAGGCGAUGAAGGACGUGGCAGCCUGCGAAAAGUAUCGGGGAGCUGGCAACAAGCUUUGAUCCGGUAAUGUCCGAAUGGGGAAACCCACCCGCUUGCGGGUAUCCUGCAGUGAAUACAUAGCUGCUGGAAGCGAACCUGGUGAACUGAAAUAUCUAAGUAACCAGAGGAAAAGAAAUCAACCGAGAUUCCGUAAGUAGCGACGAGCGAACGCGGACUAGCCCUUAAGCUGAUUUGGUUCUAGGAAAACGCUCUGGAAAGAGCGGCCAUAGAAGGUGAUAGCCCUGUAUCUGAAAGGGCCAUUUCAGUGAAGACGAGUAGGGCGGGGCACGUGAAACCCUGUCUGAACAUGGGGGGACCAUCCUCCAAGGCUAAAUACUACUGACCGACCGAUAGUGAACCAGUACCGUGAGGGAAAGGCGAAAAGAACCCCGGAGAGGGGAGUGAAAUAGAACCUGAAACCGUGUGCGUACAAGCAGUAGGAGCUCCGCAAGGAGUGACUGCGUACCUUUUGUAUAAUGGGUCAGCGACUUACUGUUCGUGGCAAGCUUAACCGUAUAGGGGAGGCGAAGGGAAACCGAGUCUGAUAAGGGCGCAUAGUCGCGGGCAGUAGACCCGAAACCGGGUGAUCUAGUCAUGCCCAGGGUGAAGGUGCGGUAACACGCACUGGAGGCCCGAACCCACUCCCGUUGCAAAGGUAGGGGAUGAGGUGUGAUUAGGAGUGAAAAGCUAAUCGAACCCGGAGAUAGCUGGUUCUCCUCGAAAGCUAUUUAGGUAGCGCCUCAUAUGUAUCCUCUCGGGGGUAGAGCACUGUUAUGGCUAGGGGGUCAUCGCGACUUACCAAACCAUUGCAAACUCCGAAUACCGAGACGGACUGUAUGGGAGACACACGGCGGGUGCUAACGUCCGUCGUGAAAAGGGAAACAACCCAGACCCACAGCUAAGGUCCCAAAUUUUGUGCUAAGUGGAAAACCAUGUGGAAAGGCACAGACAGCCAGGAGGUUGGCUUAGAAGCAGCCACCCUUUAAAGAAAGCGUAAUAGCUCACUGGUCGAGUCGGUCUGCGGGGAAGAUUUAACGGGGCUAAGCACAGAACCGAAGCUUGGGGUGCAUAACUUUGUUAUGCGCGGUAGAGGAGCGUUCCGUAAGCCGUUGAAGGUGGAUUGAGAAGUCUGCUGGAGGUAUCGGAAGUGCGAAUGCUGACAUGAGUAACGAUAAUGCGGGUGAAAAACCCGCACGCCGAAAGCCCAAGGUUUCCUUGCGCAACGUUAAUCGGCGCAGGGUGAGUCGGCCCCUAAGGCGAGGACGAAAGUCGUAGUCGAUGGGAAGCAGGUUAAUAUUCCUGCACCUCGCGUAAGUGCGAUGGAGGGACGGAGAAGGUUAGGUGUACCAGGCGUUGGUUGUCCUGGGGAAAGGCGGUAGGUUUGGAUCUUUGGCAAAUCCGGGAUCCUUUAAGACCGAGCACCGAGACGAGCCUUUAUGGCGAAGUCACUGAUACCACGCUUCCAGGAAAAGCUCCUAAGCUUCAGCUUACGCAGACCGUACCGUAAACCGACACAGGUGGGUAGGAUGAGAAUUCUCAGGCGCUUGAGAGAACUCGGGUGAAGGAACUAGGCAACAUGGCACCGUAACUUCGGGAGAAGGUGCACCCUUUUUGGUGGCUCGUGCGAGCUAUAGCUGAAGAGGGUCGCAGUAACCAGGCCGCUGCGACUGUUUAUCAAAAACACAGCACUCUGCAAACACGAAAGUGGACGUAUAGGGUGUGACGCCUGCCCGGUGCUGGAAGGUUAAUUGAUGGGGUCAGCCGCAAGGCGAAGCUCUUGAUCGAAGCCCCAGUAAACGGCGGCCGUAACUAUAACGGUCCUAAGGUAGCGAAAUUCCUUGUCGGGUAAGUUCCGACCUGCACGAAUGGCGUAACGACAGCGGCGCUGUCUCCACCCGAGACUCAGUGAAAUUGAAAUCGCUGUGAAGAUGCAGCGUUCCCGUGGCAAGACGGAAAGACCCCGUGAACCUUUACUAUAGCUUUACACUGAACGUUGAGUUCGUCUGUGUAGGAUAGGUGGGAGGCUAUGAAACCAUGGCGCUAGCUGUGGCGGAGCCAUCCUUGAAAUACCACCCUGUCGUGCUUGACGUUCUAACCUGGGCCCAUUAUCUGGGUCGGGGACCGUGUAUGGUGGGUAGUUUGACUGGGGCGGUCUCCUCCUAAAGAGUAACGGAGGAGCUCGAAGGUACGCUCAGCGCGGUCGGACAUCGCGCACUGUGUGCAAAGGCAUAAGCGUGCUUGACUGCAAGAUCGACGGAUCAAGCAGGUAGGAAACUAGGACUUAGUGAUCCGGUGGUUCUGUAUGGAAGGGCCAUCGCUCAACGGAUAAAAGGUACUCCGGGGAUAACAGGCUGAUACCGCCCAAGAGUUCAUAUCGACGGCGGUGUUUGGCACCUCGAUGUCGGCUCAUCACAUCCUGGGGCUGUAGUCGGUCCCAAGGGUAUGGCUGUUCGCCAUUUAAAGUGGUACGCGAGCUGGGUUCAGAACGUCGUGAGACAGUUCGGUCCCUAUCUGCCAUGGGCGUUGGAGAUUUGAGAGGGGCUGCUCCUAGUACGAGAGGACCGGAGUGGACGAACCUCUGGUGUUCCGGUUGUCACGCCAGUGGCAUUGCCGGGUAGCUAUGUUCGGAAGCGAUAACCGCUGAAAGCAUCUAAGCGGGAAGCGCGCCUCAAGAUGAGAUCUCCCGGGGCACAAGCCCCCUGAAGGAACCAUGUAGACUACGUGGUUGAUAGGUCAGGUGUGUAAGUACAGCAAUGUAUUGAGCUAACUGAUACUAAUGAUCCGAGAGGCUUGACCAU
RNAcentral lists this ribosomal RNA (2880 nucleotides) under Stenotrophomonas maltophilia. RNAcentral's name for it is "23S ribosomal RNA". It matches the Rfam family "Bacterial large subunit ribosomal RNA". The record is from RNAcentral. RNAcentral also lists the same sequence under 5 other names. Lineage: Bacteria; Pseudomonadati; Pseudomonadota; Gammaproteobacteria; Lysobacterales; Lysobacteraceae.